This 308-nucleotide ribosomal RNA is filed under the name uncultured bacterium. Its description in RNAcentral is "bacterial SSU rRNA". It matches the Rfam family "Bacterial small subunit ribosomal RNA", at positions 28 to 334 of the family's 1533-position model. The record is from RNAcentral.
GACGAACGCUGGCGGCGUGCCUAACACAUGCAAGUCGAACGGAAGUAAGUGCUUCGGUAUUUACUUUAGUGGCGAACGGGUGAGUAACGCGUGAGGAACCUGCCUUUCAGUGGGGGACAACAGUUGGAAACGACUGCUAAUACCGCAUGACGCUUCUUAGGGGCAUCCCUGAGAAGUCAAAGCUUUAUGUGCUGAAAGAUGGCCUCGCGUCUGAUUAGCUAGUUGGUGGGGUAACGGCCCACCAAGGCAACGAUCGGUAGCCGGACUGAGAGGUUGAACGGCCACAUUGGGACUGAGACACGGCCCAG